This 469-nucleotide ribosomal RNA is filed under the name uncultured bacterium. RNAcentral's name for it is "partial 16S ribosomal RNA". It matches the Rfam family "Bacterial small subunit ribosomal RNA", at positions 28 to 507 of the family's 1533-position model. The record is from RNAcentral.
GACGAACGCUGGCGGCGUGCUUAACACAUGCAAGUCGAACGGUGAAGCGAGUGCUUGCACUCGUGGAUCAGUGGCGAACGGGUGAGUAACACGUGAGUAACCUGCCCAUCACUCUGGGAUAAGCACUGGAAACGGUGUCUAAUACUGGAUACGACCAACCCUUGCAUGGGGUGUUGGUGGAAAGAUUUAUCGGUGAUGGAUGGACUCGCGGCCUAUCAGCUUGUUGGCGGGGUAAUGGCCCACCAAGGCGACGACGGGUAGCCGGCCUGAGAGGGUGACCGGCCACACUGGGACUGAGACACGGCCCAGACUCCUACGGGAGGCAGCAGUGGGGAAUAUUGCACAAUGGGCGGAAGCCUGAUGCAGCGACGCCGCGUGAGGGAUGACGGCCUUCGGGUUGUAAACCUCUUUCAGCAGGGAAGAAGCGAAAGUGACGGUACCUGCAGAAGAAGCACCGGCUAACUACGUG